CCCUAGUACGGCGAGUGAAGCGGCAACAGCUCAAAUUUGAAAGCUAGCCUUCGGGUUCGCAUUGUAAUUUGUAGAGGAUGCUUUGGGUAAAACGCCAGUCUAAGUUCCUUGGAACAGGACGUCAUAGAGGGUGAGAAUCCCGUAUGUGACUGGAAAUGUUAACCUAUGUAAAGCUCCUUCGACGAGUCGAGUUGUUUGGGAAUGCAGCUCUAAAUGGGAGGUAAAUUUCUUCUAAAGCUAAAUAUUGGCGAGAGACCGAUAGCGCACAAGUAGAGUGAUCGAAAGAUGAAAAGCACUUUGGAAAGAGAGUUAAAAAGCACGUGAAAUUGUUGAAAGGGAAGCGCUUGCAAUCAGACUUGUUUAAACUGUUCGGCCGGUCUUCUGACCGGUUUACUCAGUUUGGACAGGCCAGCAUCAGUUUCGGCGGCCGGAUAAAGGCUCUGGGAAUGUGGCCUCCACUUCGGUGGAGGUGUUAUAGCCCAGUGUGUAAUACGGCCAGCCGGGACUGAGGUCCGCGCUUCGGCUAGGAUGCUGGCGUAAUGGUUGUAAGCGACCCGUCUUGAAACACGGAC
This 572-nucleotide ribosomal RNA is filed under the name Aureobasidium pullulans. RNAcentral describes it as "partial large subunit ribosomal RNA". It matches the Rfam family "Eukaryotic large subunit ribosomal RNA", at positions 78 to 666 of the family's 3401-position model. Lineage: Eukaryota; Fungi; Ascomycota; Dothideomycetes; Dothideales; Saccotheciaceae. The record is from RNAcentral.